CAGCAGCCGCGGUAAUACGAAGGGUGCAAGCGUUACUCGGAAUUACUGGGCGUAAAGCGUGCGUAGGUGGUGGUUUAAGUCCGUUGUGAAAGCCCUGGGCUCAACCUGGGAAUUGCAGUGGAUACUGGAUCACUAGAGUGUGGUAGAGGAUAGUGGAAUUUCCGGUGUAGCAGUGAAAUGCGUAGAGAUCGGAAGGAACAUCUGUGGCGAAGGCGACUAUCUGGGCCAACACUGACACUGAGGCACGAAAGCGUGGGGAGCAAACAGGAUUAGAUACCCCAGUAGUCCCUGUCUCUUAUAC
Molecule: ribosomal RNA, 301 nt
Filed under: uncultured bacterium
Lineage: Bacteria
Description: partial 16S ribosomal RNA
Rfam family: Bacterial small subunit ribosomal RNA
Source: RNAcentral